GUGAACGCUGGCGGUAGGCCUAACACAUGCAAGUCGAACGGCAGCACAGUAAGAGCUUGCUCUUACGGGUGGCGAGUGGCGGACGGGUGAGGAAUACAUCGGAAUCUACUUUUUCGUGGGGGAUAACGUAGGGAAACUUACGCUAAUACCGCAUACGACCUACGGGUGAAAGCAGGGGAUCUUCGGACCUUGCGCGAUUGAAUGAGCCGAUGUCGGAUUAGCUAGUUGGCGGGGUAAAGGCCCACCAAGGCGACGAUCCGUAGCUGGUCUGAGAGGAUGAUCAGCCACGCUGGAACUGAGACACGGUCCAGACUCCUACGGGAGGCAGCAGUGGGGAAUAUUGGACAAUGGGCGCAAGCCUGAUCCAGCCAUACCGCGUGGGUGAAGAAGGCCUUCGGGUUGUAAAGCCCUUUUGUUGGGAAAGAAAAGCAGCAGGUUAAUACCCCGCUGUUCUGACGGUACCCAAAGAAUAAGCACCGGCUAACUUCGUG
RNAcentral lists this ribosomal RNA (491 nucleotides) under uncultured bacterium. RNAcentral's name for it is "partial 16S ribosomal RNA". It matches the Rfam family "Bacterial small subunit ribosomal RNA", at positions 29 to 507 of the family's 1533-position model. The record is from RNAcentral.